RNAcentral lists this ribosomal RNA (968 nucleotides) under uncultured bacterium. RNAcentral describes it as "bacterial SSU rRNA". It matches the Rfam family "Bacterial small subunit ribosomal RNA", at positions 536 to 1500 of the family's 1533-position model. The record is from RNAcentral.
GGCCGUUUUCCGGGGAUUAUUGGGCGUAAGAGCUCGUAGGCGGUUUGUCGCGUCUGCCGUGAAAGUCCGGGGCUCAACUCCGGAUCUGCGGUGGGUACGGGCAGACUAGAGUGAUGUAGGGGAGACUGGAAUUCCUGGUGUAGCGGUGAAAUGCGCAGAUAUCAGGAGGAACACCGAUGGCGAAGGCAGGUCUCUGGGCAUUAACUGACGCUGAGGAGCGAAAGCAUGGGGAGCGAACAGGAUUAGAUACCCUGGUAGUCCAUGCCGUAAACGUUGGGCACUAGGUGUGGGGGACAUUCCACGUUUUCCGCGCCGUAGCUAACGCAUUAAGUGCCCCGCCUGGGGAGUACGGCCGCAAGGCUAAAACUCAAAGGAAUUGACGGGGGCCCGCACAAGCGGCGGAGCAUGCGGAUUAAUUCGAUGCAACGCGAAGAACCUUACCAAGGCUUGACAUGAACCGGUAAGACCUGGAAACAGGUCCCCCACUUGUGGCCGGUUUACAGGUGGUGCAUGGUUGUCGUCUGCUCGUGUCGUGAGAUGUUGGGUUAAGUCCCGCAACGAGCGCAACCCUCGUUCCAUGUUGCCAGCGCGUUAUGGCGGGGACUCAUGGGAGACUGCCGGGGUCAACUCGGAGGAAGGUGGGGACGACGUCAAAUCAUCAUGCCCCUUUGUCUUGGGCUUCACGCAUGCUACAAUGGCCGGUACAAAGGGUUGCGAUACUGUGAGGUGGAGCUAAUCCCAAAAAGCCGGUCUCAGUUCGGAUUGGGGUCUGCAACUCGACCCCAUGAAGUCGGAGUCGCUAGUAAUCGCAGAUCAGCAACGCUGCGGUGAAUACGUUCCCGGGCCUUGUACACACCGCCCGUCACACCACGAAAGUCGGCAAUACCCGAAGCCGGUGGCCUAACCCGCAAGGGGGGCAGCCGUCCAAGGUGUAGUUCAUGAUUAGGGUGAAGUCGUAACAAGGUAAC